Prionailurus viverrinus (fishing cat) is the source of this 575-nucleotide long non-coding RNA. RefSeq lists it as uncharacterized. The transcript is spliced from 3 exons. The record is from RefSeq and is a predicted model, not a curated record. Lineage: Eukaryota; Metazoa; Chordata; Mammalia; Carnivora; Felidae.
GGCUCAAACACAAACUGAAAACACACAUAACAUCCACACCCUCCUCCUCAUAUGCAGAUAGCCUUUCAUAAGGCCCUGGGAGGGCUCCAACCCUAUAAGUUUUUAUUUAUUUAAGUCAUCUCCACACUCAACGUGGGGCCCAAAUUCAGGACGCAGAGAUCAAGAGUCACAUGCUCCACCAACUGAGCCAGCCCGAAGCCCCAGCUUUGUUCAAUGUUUAAUGAAGUUUCGGAUAAACAAACUGAGCCCCAUUGGUACAAUGAAAUGUUACUCAACAACGAAGAAGGAAUGAACUGCUGAUACACAGAACAUGGCUGAACUUCAGAAACCUUAUUUUGAGUGAAAGAUGCCAGACACCAACAAACACACUCUAUAUACUUCUACAUAUCAGACGUUCAGGAACAAUUUUAUGCAUCGUAAUGAGUGUCAGAACAAUGGUUACAACAACACAAUAAUGGUUACAACCCUGUUGUGUUGACUUGGGAAGGACACAUAGGACAUUUCUGGAGUGAUGGAAAUGGUCCGAAUCUUGGAAGGAAUGUGGGUUACCAAAAUAAAAGCAUCGGUCAAUAUCA